Molecule: long non-coding RNA, 1472 nt
Organism: Mauremys mutica (yellowpond turtle)
Lineage: Eukaryota; Metazoa; Chordata; Testudines; Geoemydidae
Exons: 3
Source: RefSeq, a predicted model, not a curated record
GGAGGAACACAAGGAGCAGGGAGACAGAAAGGCAGGGGAAGCCAUGAUGGAUCUCACAGAGACACAAACAAGGGGGCCAAGCCUGCACCGUAACCGCCCGGACUCGGGGUUUGUCGGCAGCUUUUUGGGGAAAUGGACCGAACAGUGGCUUUGGACGCCGAAGUGGUGGGCAUGUCAAACUCCACGUCCACAUAGCGGAUGAAACUGGAAGGCACUUCCCGGUCAGAGCCAAGCUCCAGGUGGCAAAAGAAGCAGUGGGGAUGGCCGGAAGCUGAGAAGAGAGAGAAAAUGAAACUUAAAACUGUUGUGAAGAUUAACAAGGGCAACACCUAGGAAGAAGCAUCUUAAAACAGGGGUAAACAGAGCAUCUGCCUGAGUGAUGAAGAUGCACACUGAGAAGCUAAAAAGGAACGCGGAAGGUUGAGUUUGGGAAGUAAGAGUGGAAAGAAGCCUGAAAGCCCUCCACAUGGAGCAGAAUGGGAGUACCAUACAUGAUGGGCUUACAGAAUUGUGCCUUGGAAGACCAGCAGUUGAGACAACUACCCAAACAAUGAGCACACCCAGAGUUUAUUCCAAAACAUGCAACCCCCUGAGCCUGCAAAGCAAGGCAGUGUAUCUUCAAUGAUAGUACUAACUCUUAGCACUGACAGGGUGAAAUUCACCCCUGUGCAGAGAGCCAGCACUAGACAACGCCUAAGCGCCUCUGAGUCCCACUUCAGCCCUCAAAAUAGAGCUCAAAAUGGGAUUUAUAGGCCCUGUGCAAGUCCGUCUUCAGAGGGGUGAAUUCCAUCCACAGAGCAUUUGGUAUUUUCAAAGCACAGCACAAACACUACUCAACCAUGUACAACGGCUUCCUAAUGAAGUUUAAGGUAAAUGCUGCUUCUAGUCAGGCCAGAAAUAACAAUUAUUAUUAUUAAUAAAUAAUAAUAAUAUUUUAUAUUGCUUCAGCCAGGUUGGGGUCCCAUUGUGCUAAGGACUGUAUAAACGUACAGUAAAUACUGCACAAACAGGUUCUUCAGAAUGCAUUGGUGUUCCCAUCUUCAGUUGGACGGGGGUGUGCAGAGACAAAAAACAAUGAAGAACAAGGGCAUUAAUUGAACUUUUACAGACUUCAAAUAUGCCUUGAUGGAAGUUUUGGGUCAAGGUUCAAGGAUCCUAAUGGGGUUCAAGGAUCCAGAAUGGCUUUGCUCUUCCAUAAUGGAAAAGCAACUGGAAGCAGGUUUCCAAGAAAAUUCCAGUUGUCUAUGUCCUGAGCAAGUUUUAAGGGCUGUGCCUUCUCCAUGUAUAUUAAAUCAAGAGCCUAUCAAAGGACAUGCUUCAGGAGGAGGAGGAAAAGGUUUAAUUUAAAAGAGCACAAAGAACCCUCCCCCAAAAUGUUAAAAUAAUAUGGUACUGAUUUGUUCCUUGUGUUGCAAAGAAAAGGAGACUAUGACUUUAUUUUUUCCAAUAAAUGGACCUUAAAUAAAUAAAUA